GCGCACGCUGGCGGCAGGCUUCACACAUGCCAGUCGCGCGGGCAUAGCAAUAUGUCAGCGGCAGACGGGUGAGUAACGCGUGGGAACGUACCUUUUGGUUCGGAACAACUGAGGGAAACUUCAGCUAAUACCGGAUAAGCCCUUACGGGGAAAGAUUUAUCGCCGAAAGAUCGGCCCGCGUCUGAUUAGCUAGUUGGUGAGGUAAUGGCUCACCAAGGCGACGAUCAGUAGCUGGUCUGAGAGGAUGAUCAGCCACAUUGGGACUGAGACACGGCCCAAACUCCUACGGGAGGCAGCAGUGGGGAAUAUUGGACAAUGGGCGCAAGCCUGAUCCAGCCAUGCCGCGUGAGUGAUGAAGGCCCUAGGGUUGUAAAGCUCUUUUGUGCGGGAAGAUAAUGACGGUACCGCAAGAAUAAGCCCCGGCUAACUUCGUG
Molecule: ribosomal RNA, 434 nt
Filed under: uncultured bacterium
Lineage: Bacteria
Description: partial 16S ribosomal RNA
Rfam family: Bacterial small subunit ribosomal RNA
Source: RNAcentral